CUCAGAUCAGGCAAGAUUACCCGCUGAGU
Molecule: ribosomal RNA, 29 nt
Filed under: Dinckleria pleurata
Lineage: Eukaryota; Viridiplantae; Streptophyta; Jungermanniopsida; Jungermanniales; Plagiochilaceae
Also listed under: 2 other names
Description: partial 28S ribosomal RNA
Source: RNAcentral